Molecule: ribosomal RNA, 622 nt
Filed under: bacterium IMCC7647
Lineage: Bacteria
Description: bacterial SSU rRNA
Rfam family: Bacterial small subunit ribosomal RNA
Source: RNAcentral
AACGAACGCUGGCGGCAGGCCUAACACAUGCAAGUCGAGCGCUUUCCUUCGGGAAGGAGCGGCGGACGGGUUAGUAACGCGUGGGAAUAUACCCAGUUCUAAGGAAUAGCCUCUGGAAACGGAGAGUAAUACCUUAUACGCCCUUCGGGGGAAAGAUUUAUCGGAAUUGGAUUAGCCCGCGUUAGAUUAGAUAGUUGGUGGGGUAAUGGCCUACCAAGUCUACGAUCUAUAGCUGGUUUGAGAGGAUGAUCAGCAACACUGGGACUGAGACACGGCCCAGACUCCUACGGGAGGCAGCAGUGGGGAAUCUUAGACAAUGGGCGCAAGCCUGAUCUAGCCAUGCCGCGUGAGUGAUGAAGGUCUUAGGAUCGUAAAGCUCUUUCAACUGUGAAGAUAAUGACGGUAGCAGUAGAAGAAACCCCGGCUAACUCCGUGCCAGCAGCCGCGGUAAUACGGAGGGGGUUAGCGUUGUUCGGAAUUACUGGGCGUAAAGCGUAGGUAGGCGGAUUAAUAAGUAAGAGGUGAAAUCCCAGGGCUCAACCCUGGAACUGCCUUUUAAACUGUUAGUCUGGAGAUCGAGAGAGGUGAGUGGAACUCCAAGUGUAGAGGUGAAAUUCGUAGU